Cyprinus carpio carpio is the source of this 277-nucleotide long non-coding RNA. Lineage: Eukaryota; Metazoa; Chordata; Actinopteri; Cypriniformes; Cyprinidae. The record is from Ensembl.
AAUUGAUUUCAUUUCCCUGUUUUUCUCCAGUGUGAAAUUUCCUUUGGAUAUCAUCUAAUCUCAUAUCUUCACCACAGUCUGAAUUACACUUUUUCCACUCUGGAGCUGCUGGCCAAAUUGCAUAUGGGUCAUUUUCAACUCUCACAUGCUCUCUUUAUUAUGAAAUGAUGGGGGGCGAUCACAAUGAGGAAGCUUCACAUGUGGACACGAGUGGGAAAGUUGACUGGAAGUCUGGGAGUUGCAGACGCCCCCAUCUGGUAGAAAGACAGAAAGCAAC